UACGUAGGGUGCAAGCGUUGUUCGGAAUUACUGGGCGUAAAGGCUCGUAGGCGGCCAACUAAGUCAGACGUGAAAUCCCUCAGCUUAACUGGGGGAACUGCGUCUGAUACUGGAUGGCUUGGAUCCGGGAGAGGGAGUGCGGAAUUCCAGGUGUAGCGGUGAAAUGCGUAGAUAUCUGGAGGAACACCGGUGGCGCAAGGGCGGGCGAUCCCUGGGACCCGGUACUUGGACGCUGAGGUAGCGAAAGCCCAGGG
Molecule: ribosomal RNA, 254 nt
Filed under: uncultured bacterium
Lineage: Bacteria
Description: partial 16S ribosomal RNA
Rfam family: Bacterial small subunit ribosomal RNA
Source: RNAcentral